AGGUCCCAAGGGUAUGGCUGUUCGCCAUUUAAAGUGGUACGCGAGCUGGGUUUAGAACGUCGUGAGACAGUUCGGUCCCUAUCUGCCGUGGGCGCUGGAGAACUGAGGGGGGCUGCUCCUAGUACGAGAGGACCGGAGUGGACGCAUCACUGGUGUUCGGGUUGUCAUGCCAAUGGCACUGCCCGGUAGCUAAAUGCGGAAGAGAUAAGUGCUGAAAGCAUCUAAGCACGAAACUUGCCCCGAGAUGAGUUCUCCCUGACCCUUUAAGGGUCCUGAAGGAACGUUGAAGACGACGACGUUGAUAGGCCGGGUGUGUAAGCGCAGCGAUGCGUUGAGCUAACCGGUACUAAUGAACCGUGAGGCUUAACCUU
This 371-nucleotide ribosomal RNA is filed under the name Escherichia coli. RNAcentral's name for it is "partial 23S ribosomal RNA". It matches the Rfam family "Bacterial large subunit ribosomal RNA", at positions 2560 to 2925 of the family's 2925-position model. The record is from RNAcentral. Lineage: Bacteria; Pseudomonadati; Pseudomonadota; Gammaproteobacteria; Enterobacterales; Enterobacteriaceae.